AGCGCUUUACUUGGAUUUCUUCGGAAUGACGAGUAUUGUGACUGAGCGGCGGACGGGUGAGUAACGCGUGGGUAACCUGCCUCAUACAGGGGGAUAGCAGUUAGAAAUGACUGCUAAUACCGCAUAAGACCACAGCACCGCAUGGUGCAGGGGUAAAAACUCCGGUGGUAUGAGAUGGACCCGCGUCUGAUUAGCUGGUUGGUGGGGUAACGGCCUACCAAGGCGACGAUCAGUAGCCGGCCUGAGAGGGCGACCGGCCACAUUGGGACUGAGACACGGCCCAAACUCCUACGGGAGGCAGCAGUGGGGAAUAUUGCACAAUGGGGGAAACCCUGAUGCAGCGACGCCGCGUGAAGGAAGAAGUAUUUCGGUAUGUAAACUUCUAUCAGCAGGGAAGAAAAUGACGGUACCUGACUAAGAAGCCCCGGCUAACUACGUGCCAGCAGCCGCGGUAAUACGUAGGGGGCAAGCGUUAUCCGGAUUUACUGGGUGUAAAGGGAGCGUAGACGGAGAGGCAAGUCUGAUGUGAAAACCCGGGGCUCAACCCCGGGACUGCAUUGGAAACUGUUUUUCUAGAGUGUCGGAGAGGUAAGCGGAAUUCCUAGUGUAGCGGUGAAAUGCGUAGAUAUUAGGAGGAACACCAGUGGCGAAGGCGGCUUACUGGACGAUGACUGACGUUGAGGCUCGAAAGCGUGGGGAGCA
Molecule: ribosomal RNA, 702 nt
Filed under: uncultured Lachnospiraceae bacterium
Lineage: Bacteria; Bacillati; Bacillota; Clostridia; Lachnospirales; Lachnospiraceae
Description: bacterial SSU rRNA
Rfam family: Bacterial small subunit ribosomal RNA
Source: RNAcentral